UGAAAGAGUCAGACUUUUUAAUGAAGUUCCUUCUUCCUCUUUUGUUUUUUUUGUGCCCUUGUCUAGAAUCAGUCAUGGGUGGAGAGAGGGUCAAAAUGACUCUGCAGUUAUUUUUCUCUUUUGUUGCACUAUGGAGAAAAAGAAAAUAAAUCCAGUGAAAGGUGAGAUUUGCAUGCAGUGGGGAUGAAGUUCAUUCAGAACUGCGACUGAAACAACAGCGUACUUCCCUCUUAGGCGCAAGCCCAUCCUUUUGUGUCUGUGAAGCUGAUGCAACAGACUGAUGCAACCCUUCCUACACAAACACGCAAGACCCGCCAGCCACCCACUAGCCACCCACUAGCUGCCUGCUCGCAGUCUGCCAGCAGCACAGCUGUCUGAGGGGGGCCUGCUAAUCCCCACUGUGCCACUGGCCAGCUCACACAGGGCAGUCCGGAUGACACCAGCUGUUAAAGGAUGCAAAACAGCUGGAGAAUCUUCUGCCUCUGGUGAACUGCUGUAGUGCUGCUGUAGUUUUGCUGUAGGGCUGCUGUAGGGCUUGUAGUGCUGCUGUAGUUUUGCUGUAGUGCUGCUGUAGGGCUUGUAGUGCUGCUGUAGUGCUGUAGUUUUGCUGUAGGGCUGCUGUAGUGCUGCUGUAGGGCUGCUGUUGUUUUGCUGUAGUGCUGUUGUAGGGCUUGUAGUGCUGCUGUAGUUUUGCUGUAGGACUAGCGUUGGCACUGUAGUACCGUGUUAUAGUGCUGCCAGUCUGAUAUUUUCUUGCAUGUUGGGUUGAUUAGGGGCAAUUUCCAAAACAGAAAAACUGAAAAACCUCCUUGCUAUUUCUUAAUAUUUAUGCUCUGCUAGUCUGCAUCUUCCUCACUUUUGGGUGUGCGCCAUUUUGGGUAUAUACAAAACGGAAAAACACAAAAUUUCCCUUUUCGACCCAAAGUGUGACUAAACCCAUUCAGCUGCAGCAUUCAUUAACCUCUAAUUCAUCAUUUAGCACAUGUGCAGUCUAACAGCGCUAACUCCAGAUCAAAGGCUAUAUUAACAAAUAACCUCUACAAUUUAGCCAUGUGAUAGACAGUUUAGCCAAUGUCACUUAAAAAAUGAAGAUUACAAUCAACCACGAUGGUGCAUGCCUAAAGACUUAAAGGGAGUGAAGAGUUAAUUUUCUAAAGGCAUUAUAAACAUGUUAAAGUGCUGUUUUAUAUGAAGUGAAAUUUAAUAUACCCCAUAUUUACCUUUUUUUAUUUAUUACUUAUAAGCUUACCAGAUAUACAUCCUGGAAAAACAUUUUGAGUGAGAAGAUGGAAGAUCAGGUGGAAGGACUAAUACUUGACUAUGACCUUUAUGGGAAACACCCCAUUAUUAUAACCUGCAAACUGCAGGACGGACCUGUGGGACAGACCUGUGGGACUUUGCUGGACGCGCUUUUUCAGAGUGAGAAAUGUCACACAGAGGCGUCAGUUCUUCCUCCCCACCAGAGGCAGCUCUCUCCUGAGCCAAAACAAUACCAUGAGCUCACUUCCUCCCUCCACACAGCUGUCCGAUUGUGAAAUAAACAUCCAUUUAGGUCCUUCAGCCCUGAUCCUGGAGAGCUACAGGCUCUCUGCAGAUUGUAAUUUUAAUCUUAAAAUCAGCAAGUAAUAUAGACAGGUAAGAUAGACAACAGCUUCAACUGAUGAAUUGGCGGCAGUGUAGCAUUAUGGGUAAAGAACUGGUCUUGUAACCUAAAGGUCACAGCUUCAGCUGGGUAGGACCCUGCCGUUGUACCCUAGAGCAAGGUGCUUAACCUGCAUUGCUUCAGUAUAUAUCCAGCUGUAUGAAUGGAUGCAGUGUAAAUGCUGUGUAAAAAGGUGUGUAAAGUCACUCUGGAUUCUUAAGAGCGUCUGCUAAAUGCCUAUAAUGUAAUGUAAUGUGUAUAAAUUCAGUGCACGUUUUUCCUGUAAAUGUUGCCCAAAUGGAAUAUUAAGUAUGAAGACAAUUGUAUAAAAUGAAUUGAGUAAUUUUAUGAUAAUUUCAUGUGUGUAAUUUUACACAUCAAUCACAAAAGUUUGCCUUUUUCUAAUGAAAAGAUACUCAAAUGUGAAUUUUAUAAUAUACUGUAUGUGUACAUUUAUGCAAAAAUCUGUAAUAGAUGUGAAGUUAUUUUUAGUAAUGAAUCUUUGUAUCAAUGUAAAAUGGAGUACAGUAAUGUUAAAUGGAGUAAAAUAUGGAGUAAAAUAUUAAUAAAACUGAAAAUGCAGUCUCAUAAUGGAGGAUUA
Long non-coding RNA from Anguilla rostrata (American eel), 2243 nucleotides. RefSeq lists it as uncharacterized. NCBI's taxonomy places the organism in Eukaryota, Metazoa, Chordata, Actinopteri, Anguilliformes, Anguillidae. The transcript has 2 exons. The record is from RefSeq and is a predicted model, not a curated record.